CGCGGCCUAUCAGCUUGUUGGUGGGGUGAUGGCCUACCAAGGCGACGACGGAUAGCCGGCCUGAGAGGGUGAUCGGCCACACUGGGACUGAGACACGGCCCAGACUCCUACGGGAGGCAGCAGUGGGGAAUCUUGCGCAAUGGGCGGAAGCCUGACGCAGCAACGCCGCGUGGGGGAUGACGGCCUUCGGGUUGUAAACCUCUUUCGCGAUCGACGAAGCUCCGGUUUCUGCCGGGGUGACGGUAGGUCGAGAAGAAGCACCGGCCAACUACGUGCCAGCAGCCGCGGUAAUACGUAGGGUGCGAGCGUUGUCCGGAAUUAUUGGGCGUAAAGAGCUCGUAGGCGGUGUGUCGCGUCGGCCGUGAAAACCUGGGGCUCAACUCUGGGCGUGCGGUCGAUACGGGCAUCACUUGAGUUCGGCAGGGGAGACUGGAAUUCCUGGUGUAGCGGUGAAAUGCGCAGAUAUCACGAGGAACACCGGUGGCGAAGGCGGGUCUCUGGGCCGAUACUGACGCUGAGGAGCGAAAGCAUGGGUAGCGAACAGGAUUAGAUACCCUGGUAGUCCAUGCCGUAAACGUUGGGCGCUAGGUGUGGGGUCCAUUCCACGGGUUCCGUGCCGCAGCUAACGCAUUAAGCGCCCCGCCUGGGGAGUACGG
This 656-nucleotide ribosomal RNA is filed under the name uncultured Actinomycetes bacterium. RNAcentral describes it as "bacterial SSU rRNA". It matches the Rfam family "Bacterial small subunit ribosomal RNA", at positions 232 to 885 of the family's 1533-position model. Lineage: Bacteria; Bacillati; Actinomycetota; Actinomycetes. The record is from RNAcentral.